Molecule: ribosomal RNA, 500 nt
Filed under: uncultured bacterium
Lineage: Bacteria
Description: partial 16S ribosomal RNA
Rfam family: Bacterial small subunit ribosomal RNA
Source: RNAcentral
AUUGAACGCUGGCGGCAUGCCUUACACAUGCAAGUCGAACGGCAGCACGGGAGCAAUCCUGGUGGCGAGUGGCGAACGGGUGAGUAAUGUAUCGGAACGUGCCCAGUCGUGGGGGAUAACGCAGCGAAAGCUGUGCUAAUACCGCAUACGAUCUAUGGAUGAAAGCGGGGGAUCGCAAGACCUCGCGCGAUUGGAGCGGCCGAUAUCAGAUUAGGUAGUUGGUGGGGUAAAGGCCCACCAAGCCUGCGAUCUGUAGCUGGUCUGAGAGGACGACCAGGCACACUGGAACUGAGACACGGUCCAGACUCCUACGGGAGGCAGCAGUGGGGAAUUUUGGACAAUGGGCGCAAGCCUGAUCCAGCAAUGCCGCGUGCAGGAUGAAGGCCUUCGGGUUGUAAACUGCUUUUGUACGGAGCGAAACGGCUCUCACUAAUACUGGGGGCUAAUGACGGUACCGUAAGAAUAAGCACCGGCUAACUACGUGCCAGCCGCCGCCGUAA